UGGAAUUAUGCAACGAAAAAAAAUUCUUAUGAUAAUAAGUAUGUAGGUCUUUUUAUAUAUAAUACAUUUUUUAGCUGAUGAUUCAAUUAAUAUUAUUUACUUAUUUAUUUUAUCUACUGAACUGAACUACAUUAAAAGAGGAAACAUUAAACACUCUUAUUUAAUAAUUUGCCGAUGUGGAGACAAUUAUUUUUUUCAAGGUCAGAAAAUUUGUUGUAGAAAUAGGAAUAAAAUUUGGUAGUAUUAAUAUUUCAUAUUUAGUUUUUACUAUUUUUGGUUACAAGUACUUUCUUUUCUUUCUUUUCUUUCCUUUUUCUCUUUUUAAUUUUUAUUUCCCUCCUUAUUUAGCACACUAAACAGAUUUUAAAAAGAGGAGAUGAAAUUGAAAACUAAAUAGAAGAAAGUUGUAUAAAAAACCCUUUUUAUUUAAAAAAAAAAUGGUUAGCAAUUAAAAUAUUUAUUAAUAUAUUAGAAAAAGCAUAGUAAAAAAUUAUGAAAUGUAAAUAUUAUAGAAAAGAAGACGUGCUGCAUCGUGAGGAAGUUUUUCUAUUUAAUGAUGAAUGAAAAAUUAAUAACACAAUUAUUGAGAUCAUGAACAGUUGGAAGGAAUAUGUUGAGGUAGUAGAAUUGAGUUGAGGAAGUAACAAUGGGUUGAGUUCAGUUGAAUUGAAUAAAAAAUGUUCCCUUAUUUUUGACCUAAAUAGUAUUUUGCUUGAGUAAGUGCUUAGACAAUCCUACUGUUAUAAACUUUUAUCCAAUUUAGUUGUGUGUUUUGGACAAAUUGAUAUAUGAGGUCGAACAAACAACGGACACAAGGGUUUAGCAGAAGACUAUUUAUUUGACAAAGGAUUUGCAUGGAAUUCAAUGCCUCUCAUUUAGUUGAGAGAGAUACGUUCGUCCAGGUCAUGGAAGAAAUUAUUUGAGGAGGCCAUGAAAAAGAAUUUGAUCCUUUGAUUCUCUCUCGACUGGAUGCUUACGCUUGAUUUGGAGGAAGCGGAGCACGUGAUGUUCUUGAAGUUUGUUGAACGUCUACGCUUGAUUUCGAGAAGCGCAACACGUGGUGUUCUUCAAGUUGGUUGAAUGCCUAUGUUUGAUUUGAGGAAGCGGAGCACAUGAUGUUUUUGAAGUUGAAGUCUUGGAAGAAAGUUUGUAUCUUCAAUGAGCUUCAAUCUUCGAGGGAAGUUGGAGUGUUGGAAGAAAUCUUGUAUCUUCAAUGAGCUUCAAUCAUCGAGGGAAGUUAGAGUCUUGGAAGAAACCUUGUAUCUUCAAAAGAGUUUCAAUCUUCGAGGAUGGUCAAUUUUAGGAGUUAGGGAGUCUUCUAGUUCUUGGGAAAAUUCUCUCUAAACCUUCUGAAGUCAAAAAUUUUCAACCUCUUUCAAAUAAUGAGAACUCUUCUAUUUAUAGAGUUCACUGGUGGGCUUUAUAGGCUUCAGCCUGAUUGGUCCAUGGAUUUAGGUUAUAUUUAGUCUUUGGGCUCAAUUAAGUUUAUUUUUGGGCUUAA
Molecule: long non-coding RNA, 1501 nt
Organism: Cucumis sativus (cucumber)
Lineage: Eukaryota; Viridiplantae; Streptophyta; Magnoliopsida; Cucurbitales; Cucurbitaceae
Exons: 2
Source: RefSeq, a predicted model, not a curated record